This 28-nucleotide non-coding RNA is filed under the name Homo sapiens (human). The record is from RNAcentral. Lineage: Eukaryota; Metazoa; Chordata; Mammalia; Primates; Hominidae.
UGGGGCCUUAGUGGCUUGGAGCCUCGUC